UGGUCAAUAAUGACGUCAGCAACAAAUCAGCUGUUUUCUUGUUUUUGCCGCUGAAAUAAAGUCAGACAAAAAUUUGUUUAUGAGUUCAAUUUUUAGUAAAAGUUGUGUUUUUAUUAGUGAAACUAUUAUGAAUUUGGACGCAAUUUUCCCAGAUUUGAGCGGCUUAAAGCGCGCCUUGGCAAAAUUGGUUUACAAAGACUUAUCAAAGAGUUGUAUGAACGUUUAUGUGCCAUUGAACCGAAGUUUGAGCCGUCUUGCGGCGUUUUCUAUUGGAGCGCUCAAAACGUGGAGCAACAGAAUCUUGUCGCCUAUUUUCCCGUGGAGCACGCCAAGGAUUUGGACUUUGAGCUGAUUAGAAAAAUGCAGGCACUAUUAUUAAACUAUGUCAUUAUAAUGGCUAUAGUGGACAAUACGGGAAAUAUAUUGUAUUAUCAGAUGUCGGAGGGAUUGGGAGAGAGUGUCAUAUAAGAGAUGGAGAUGGAUGUGGAGAUCUUUGAUACAGUGGAGCAGUUGCAACUGAUGCUAGGUUGCUCCCCGUUCGUAACUAAAGAGCCACUACCAAUGUUACGGCACUAUUAAUUCAUUGCCUACAAACUGUCGAACCACGACGAAAUGUCUAAAAAGAUUAGAGCCAAAUCUAUAUAGCUUUAUAGCAACUAAUCCGAUACUCUGAUGCUGAAGGAAAAGCCGUAGGGAAAAAUCGUAUCAAGCUGAUAUAUAGUACUAAACAGUCUCUUAAACUGUCUACAAAUAGUCAUUAUAUAUCCUAUCAGAUCAUAUCUUAAGCAAUCCUCAAGCGUCUCCCCAUUCAUGGAUUACGAAUUCAACAUUUUAUU
Drosophila hydei is the source of this 836-nucleotide RNA transcript. RefSeq lists it as uncharacterized. NCBI's taxonomy places the organism in Eukaryota, Metazoa, Arthropoda, Insecta, Diptera, Drosophilidae. The transcript is spliced from 3 exons. The record is from RefSeq and is a predicted model, not a curated record.